GAUGAACGCUGGCGGCGUGCUUAACACAUGCAAGUCAAACGGUGAAGCAGGAGCUUGCUCUUGUGGAUCAGUGGCGAACGGGUGAGUAACACGUGAGCAACCUGCCCCUGACUCUGGGAUAAGCGCUGGAAACGGCGUCUAAUACUGGAUAUGUGAUGUGACCGCAUGGUCUGCAUCUGGAAAGAAUUUCGGUUGGGGAUGGGCUCGCGGCCUAUCAGCUUGUUGGUGAGGUAAUGGCUCACCAAGGCGUCGACGGGUAGCCGGCCUGAGAGGGUGAACGGCAACACUGGGACUGAGAAGCUGCCCAGACUCCUACGGGAGGCAGCAGUGGGGAAUAUUGCACAAUGGGCGGAAGCCUGAUGCAGCAACGCCGCGUGAGGGAUGACGGCCUUCGGGUUGUAAACCUCUUUUAGCAGGGAAGAAGCGAAAGUGACGGUACCUGCAGAAAAGGCACCGGCUAACUACGUGCCAGCCGCCGCGGUAA
RNAcentral lists this ribosomal RNA (484 nucleotides) under uncultured bacterium. RNAcentral describes it as "partial 16S ribosomal RNA". It matches the Rfam family "Bacterial small subunit ribosomal RNA", at positions 28 to 523 of the family's 1533-position model. The record is from RNAcentral.